RNAcentral lists this transfer RNA (73 nucleotides) under Treponema sp. RNAcentral describes it as "tRNA-Ala". It matches the Rfam family "tRNA". From Rfam's summary of the family: Transfer RNA (tRNA) molecules are approximately 80 nucleotides in length. Their secondary structure includes four short double-helical elements and three loops (D, anti-codon, and T loops). Further hydrogen bonds mediate the characteristic L-shaped molecular structure. tRNAs have two regions of fundamental functional importance: the anti-codon, which is responsible for specific mRNA codon recognition, and the 3' end, to which the tRNAs corresponding amino acid is attached (by aminoacyl-tRNA synthetases). tRNAs cope with the degeneracy of the genetic code in two manners: having more than one tRNA (with a specific anti-codon) for a particular amino acid; and 'wobble' base-pairing, i.e. permitting non-standard base-pairing at the 3rd anti-codon position. The record is from RNAcentral. Lineage: Bacteria; Pseudomonadati; Spirochaetota; Spirochaetia; Treponematales; Treponemataceae.
GGGGAUGUAGCUCAUCUGGUAGAGCAAUAGGUUCGCAAUCUAUGUGUAGGCGGUUCAAGUCCGCUCAUCUCCA